GUCUUUAAGAGGCGAUGCUAGGGGCGCCCGGGGGCUCAGCGGGUGGGCGCCUGCCUCGGCCCAGGGCGUGGCCCCGCGUCCCGGGAUCGAGCCCCGCGUCGGGCCCCGCAGGAGCCAGCCUCUCCCCCGCCUGUGUCCCCGCCUCUCUGUGCGUCUCUCAUGAAUCAAUUUUAAAAAUCCUGGAAAAACGAGCCGUUCGGUCGAGGUAAGCGCGAGGGCCUACGGGGACGCAGACAGGCGACAGCGGGCUCAGGGCGCUGCGGGCAGCUCCGCAGGGGCCGACGCACGGACGCCGCGAGCAGGGCAGCCAGCGGGGCGGACGGCGGGGGGGCUGCGUGGACCCGUCAGGACAGAACCCUAGCGCGGAGGGGGCUCCCGGAGCGGGGCUGGGGCAGCGGGAAUGGGGUGCGGGACGCCGGACAGGACCUGGGGGCCUCCCCUCCCCCACGGCUCCUGCCACCCGCUGGGACCAGGCUUGCUCCGGGAAGCCUCGCUGUGGGGCGGCCGCCCCCUGCACCUGCACCUGCACCUGCACGCCGACGCCCUCACCUCCCGGGGCCCCUGCCUGCACCUGCUCCCCCCCCCCGGGGUCCUUCACAAGGGCCGUGUCUUGGACACACGUGUGUCUCCAGCACCCGGCAGCAUCCUGGCACGUGGGGAAUGCUCCGCAAAGAGUGUUGGACACACGAGGGGGGAAACAAAGGGCGGGCGCCUGGGGCGAUGCCAAUGCCCCGUCUCUUCCCUCGGGAACAGAAGGCAGAGGACAGAGGCUGCGCAGACGCCGCCCGGGGAGAUCAUUCUACGGGUUUGGGGCGCACGGGGGCUGGGAAACCCCUGGGCCGCUGCGCUCCCAUCAACCAUAAGUGGGGGCACAGCCCAGGCAGGCAGUAGCUGGACCCGAGGAGCAGGAGGGGAGGGGUUCCCGCCGCCCCCCCCAGCACCUGGAUCUGCUCGAAGGGGAUCUCGAAGCUGAAGGACUCGUUGAAGUAGGGGUUCAGGGUCUUCUUCUUGACCGUCGUCUUCUUCUUCUUGAGCCUCUUGCCGUUCUGCAUCAGGUGGAUCUUCACGUAGGGGUCUGCGGAGAAGCCCCGCCCCAGAGCCUCCUUAGCCUGCGCCCCCACCUCCCCCACCUCCCUCUGCACCCCCCCCCCCCCCAGCAGAAGCAGAGGCAGCAGGAAGAUUCCAGCUGGAGGACCAGUUCGGGCUGCGGGUGCAGGGGAGGCUGCCUGGGGCUCAGGCUCUAGCAGUGACCCUGCGCCGCCGUCCCAGGUGGGGGGCAGAGGGGGCUCACACACGCGGCCAUGCCCCCACCCACCUCCCCACCUCGCGGGUGAGAAACUGAGGCCUGCAGAAGGUCGGGGAGUGAGCGGCGCUGAGCGAGUGGGGUGUGUGUGUGCGAUGGAGCAGGGUGGGUGUGAGUGAGGGGGGGUGACAAGCCGGGGUGACCUGGCCGGGCUGGCCGCAGGACUGCCAGGGGAGCCCCCACCCCAGCCUGAUGCCCAGGAAGGCGGCGUUCCCCCCUCCCCGCCCCCCCGCGGGCAGGGCCUGUGCAGGACAAGUGUCCCCAGCUCUGGGCAGCUCCCAGGGGCGGGCCUGGGGCCCAGGACAGCGGCCACCUGGUGGGAAGCGAGGCCCAGCGCCUGGCUCGCCGGUGCCAUCCCAUGGCAGCCGCCAGGCCUGCAGGUACCUGACAGGCCCCCCACGUCCAUCUUCUUCAGGUUCUUGGCCUCCAGGAUACAGACAGUGAGCUUCCCGGCCGUGGGCACGUAGCGCAGGGAGGUGCAGAUGUCGCCCAGCUUCUCUGGCUGUGCCGGAAGAGCAGCAUCCCGGUCAUCCGGGCCCCCCACCCCAUGACCGCACCCCGGGGAUGGCUCCCGCUCCCCGGCAGAGCAGUCGUCCCGGUACUCUGUCCCUCUCCUUGGGUUACUGUCAUGGUGACGCCCUCCCGUGGAUGGGUCAGGGCUCCUGGUGACCCCGAGACCUCCACAACGUCCCACAGCAAGGGCACCAGGGGCAGGAUGGGAACCCAGGGCUCCUGCUCCUAGGAGCUCUGCCAACAUCAUGCCCGGGUGAGCCUCUCGGGGAUGGGGCCCACCUGCCCGGUCCCUGCUCAGGGGCACAGGCCCGGCUUCCUCAGGGUGAGCGCCCGGUCAGCAAGGGGGUCCUGGGCGUCCCUCCCCCCCCAGCCUGGUACGCUGCUGGCCUCGCGACCGGGACUUGGCCAGACGAAGGACCGAUGCUGGAGGAGCAGGGGCUCCAGGGAGCAUGUGGCAUAUGGCAGGUGCUCAGCCCGUGCCUGGUAAGCCGUGGAUGCUGUAGCAGCUGCUGGGAGGACAAGCCCCCGUGCCGAGACACCUUUAAAAUAAAUAUGGGCUUGCCCUGUGGGUAAACUGAGGCACGAAGUGACAAGUCAGGGGCCCUCAGGGACAGCAGAACCGCAGCAGCACGACGGUGACACUGCUCCCCUAACGGGGGAGCCUCCUCAACGCCAGAGGCUAGGCCAGACUGCGGGGGGCCCGGGCCCAGGGGGUCAGCCAGGUGCCCGGGGUCACACAGCGCAGCCGCGUCCCACCCGCCCGCAGCCCCUCGGCGCUUGCCGCUCUCACCUCCUCCUUCUCGCCGCCCUGCAGGUCCCUCCACUCCUCGAUGGGCUGGCCCAGGUCCACGGUGUUCAUGGGCACCUUCACCUCGCCGAUGAUGUCGUGUUUGGAGAAGCGGUCGAAGUCAUAGAUGGCCAUCACCAGGGUUUUGCCCCCCAGCUCCUGGAGGAAGACUUUGACGUAAGGGUCUGAGGUGCCCCCCAUGUCCAGGGCUGGCAAUUCAGCAGCUUGCAGGACGCCGACGGUGAGCUGCGGGGAGAGAGGACCGGGCCUGAGCCCCCCAUCACCCCCCUCACCCCCCCGGGGACACCAGCCCCCCAGUGGGGACAGGCCGCUGCGACCCAGGAACACCGGUCCCGUCCCUACCCCUGGAUCCAGGUGACGUCAGGGAAGCGGGUUUGCCCAAGGUCGGCGGGGUGUUGACAGCGGGGGCCCUGAACUGCGGACCCCUCUAAAGCGAUGAUGCCGGGGGCUCAUGGGGGCACCCGGGGGCGCACGCCUUUGGUCUCCAGCCCCGCCCACCCCAUGGAAGGGGGCGGCCUGGCCUGUGGGCGUGCCUGCUUCUCGCGCUCCCCCCCCACACACCCCCAGCCUGGCCGCCCUACCUGGUUGGCCUGGAAAUCAUAAUCCAGGGAGAACUGCAGCUUGCCCAGGUUCUCCGGCUCCUUCUCCUCCUCUCCCUCGCCCUCUCCCUCCGUCAGGCCCGUCUCGGCAUCAUCGUCAUCCUGGGGGGACUGGGCCGGACAAGGGGCGCUCAGGGGACAGGACGGGGCCUGCCUGGGGGCCCCAAUCCGCGGCCCUCGGCCCCCCGGCCGCGGCUUGCACGCGCCCUACUUCCCAGCUCAGGGGCCGCCCUGGGACACUUACCCGGAGCACCGUCGGCGCAUCCCAGAGCACGGAGAGCCCACGGGGGUGAGAGAAGGAAAGUGACGUAAGAGAAAGUCCUGCGGCCGCACCGGCUGCCACCAGCAGCACUUCUUGCAGAUGCAGAAGCAGCAGGUGAGAAGCAGGAGGCCGGCGACCACGGCAAUGGCGAUCAGCGCCCAGGGCGGUACUGGCCAUGGAGGAGCCGGGUCAGCAGGGCUCAGCCCGCCCCCCGCCCCGCUGCACGCGGCCACGGCCACGGCGCUGCACGUGAGCCACGUCUGCUUCCCGGAGCCUGCUCAGCCCUGCCCUCCGCGCCCACGGGCCGUGGACAGAGACCCCGACCGAGGCGCAGGAGCUCCGGGGCCACCCCGAGCCGGCGGCCCAGGGCCCUGGCCGCGCCCCACACCCCACGCCAGCACCUCCCACGGGGGGGGGCCCACCCGCGACCUCCGCCGGCACCCGAGCAGCCCCUGCCAGGACCUGGGAAGGUGAUGGUGGGGGGAGCUUCUGUUUCCCAAACUAAGGUAACACGACGGGAGAUCUUCAGCAGGGCCGUGUCACGCGGGUUCCCACCCUCCUCCGGUUUCAAGCGCCGGGUGUCCGGGUGCUGGCAGCGGCCCUUCCCCCCCGGGAGGCUGGGGCGCCCACCCUCCCCAGGGACGCGCAGCAGGCCCGGCCCGGGGCACCCCCGCGGGCACUCACAGGGGAUGCUCUGGAUCUUGUAGAAGAACUUGUCCUGUAUGUAGGUGAACAUGUCAUCCUGACUCGGCCUGGCGCCCCCGCUCUCCGUCGAGUUGUCUAAGAGCCCGGUGGACACUGUGGCCGUGGUGGUGGCGGGAGCCACGAUGGGCUCCUGGUUCCUCUUGAAGAUGUUCCUCAUGGUGGCGGAGGCGACGGCUGCGGGCGGCAGGGGUGGGAACAGGUGAGCGGCCGCAGCCCGAGUACACACAGCUCCGCCCAAGGACUGGAAGCCUCUCUCGGGAGCUAAAGGCCUAGGGAUGCCCGCGGGGUCAGUGGUCGGGCACCGCCUCCGGCCCAGGUCGUGACCCCGGGGUCCCAGGAUCGAGUCCCGUGUCGGGCUCCCACAGGAGCCUGCUUCUCCCUCUGCCUGUGUCUCUGUCUCUCUGUGUGUCUCUCAUGAAUAAAAAAAAAUUUAA
This is a long non-coding RNA of Canis lupus familiaris (dog), 4624 nucleotides long. RefSeq lists it as uncharacterized. The transcript has 3 exons. Lineage: Eukaryota; Metazoa; Chordata; Mammalia; Carnivora; Canidae. The record is from RefSeq and is a predicted model, not a curated record.